GGCAGACUAGAGUGCGGUAGGGGGAGCGGAUUCCUGUGUAGGCGGUGGAAUGCGCAGAUAUCAGGAGGAACACCGAUGGCGAAGGCAGGUCUUGGGCCGCAACGACGCUGAGGAGCGAAAGCAUGGGGAGCGAACAGGAUUAGAUACCCUGGUAGUCCAUGCCGUAAACGUUGGGCACAGGUGUGGGGCUCAUUCCACGAGUUCCGUGCCGCAGCAAACGCAUUAAGUGCCCCGCCUGGGGAGUACGGCCGCAAGGCUAAAACUCAAAGGAAUUGAGGGGGCCCGCACAAGCGGCGGAGCAUGCGGAUUAAUUCGAUGCAACGCGAAGAACCUUACCAAGGCUUGACAUGCACGGGAAGCCACCAGAGAUGGUGGUCUCUUUGGACACUCGUGCACAGGUGGUGCAUGGUUGUCGUCAGCUCGUGUCGUGAGAUGUUGGGUUAAGUCCCGCAACGAGCGCAACCCUCGUCCCAUGUUGCCAGCGGGUUAUGCCGGGGACUCAUGGGAGACUGCCGGGGUCAACUCGGAGGAAGGUGGGGAUGACGUCAAAUCAUCAUGCCCCUUAUGUCUUGGGCUUCACGCAUGCUACAAUGGCCGGUACAAAGGGCUGCGAUACCGUAAGGUGGAGCGAAUCCCAAAAAGCCGGUCUCAGUUCGGAUUGGGGUCUGCAACUCGACCCCAUGAAGUCGGAGUCGCUAGUAAUCGCAGAUCCAGCAACGCUGCGG
Molecule: ribosomal RNA, 725 nt
Filed under: Cellulosimicrobium cellulans
Lineage: Bacteria; Bacillati; Actinomycetota; Actinomycetes; Micrococcales; Promicromonosporaceae
Description: bacterial SSU rRNA
Rfam family: Bacterial small subunit ribosomal RNA
Source: RNAcentral